GGUGAACGCUGGCGGUAGGCCUAACACAUGCAAGUCGAACGGCAGCACAGUAAGAGCUUGCUCUUACGGGUGGCGAGUGGCGGACGGGUGAGGAAUACAUCGGAAUCUACUUUUUCGUGGGGGAUAACGUAGGGAAACUUACGCUAAUACCGCAUACGACCUACGGGUGAAAGCAGGGGAUCUUCGGACCUUGCGCGAUUGAAUGAGCCGAUGUCGGAUUAGCUAGUUGGCGGGGUAAAGGCCCACCAAGGCGACGAUCCGUAGCUGGUCUGAGAGGAUGAUCAGCCACACUGGAACUGAGACACGGUCCAGACUCCUACGGGAGGCAGCAGUGGGGAAUAUUGGACAAUGGGCGCAAGCCUGAUCCAGCCAUACCGCGUGGGUGAAGAAGGCCUUCGGGUUGUAAAGCACUUUUGUUGGGAAAGAAAAGCAGCAGGUUAAUACCCCGCUGUUCUGACGGUACCCAAAGAAUAAGCACCGGCUAACUUCGUG
RNAcentral lists this ribosomal RNA (492 nucleotides) under uncultured bacterium. RNAcentral's name for it is "partial 16S ribosomal RNA". It matches the Rfam family "Bacterial small subunit ribosomal RNA", at positions 28 to 507 of the family's 1533-position model. The record is from RNAcentral.